RNAcentral lists this ribosomal RNA (495 nucleotides) under uncultured bacterium. RNAcentral describes it as "partial 16S ribosomal RNA". It matches the Rfam family "Bacterial small subunit ribosomal RNA", at positions 29 to 507 of the family's 1533-position model. The record is from RNAcentral.
AUGAACGCUGGCGGCGUGCCUAAUACAUGCCAGUCGCGCGAACAGACGAGGAGCUUGCUCCUCUGACGUUAGCGGCGGACGGGUGAGUAACACGUGGAUAACCUACCUAUAGACUGGGAUAACUUCGGGAAACCGGAGCUAAUACCGGAUAAUAUAUUGAACCGCAUGGUUCAAUAGUGAAAGACGGUUUUGCUGUCACUUAUAGAUGGAUCCGCGCGGCAUUAGCUAGUUGGUAAGGUAACGGCUUACCAAGGCAACGAUGCGUAGCCGACCUGAGAGGGUGAUCGGCCACACUGGAACUGAGACACGGUCCAGACUCCUACGGGAGGCAGCAGUAGGGAAUCUUCCGCAAUGGGCGAAAGCUUGACGGAGCAACGCCGCGUGAGUGAUGAAGGUCUUCGGAUCGUAAAACUCUGUUAUUAGGGAAGAACAAAUGUGUAAGUAACUAUGCACGUCUUGACGGUACCUAAUCAGAAAGCCACGGCUAACUACGUG